RNAcentral lists this ribosomal RNA (506 nucleotides) under uncultured bacterium. Its description in RNAcentral is "partial 16S ribosomal RNA". It matches the Rfam family "Bacterial small subunit ribosomal RNA", at positions 29 to 523 of the family's 1533-position model. The record is from RNAcentral.
AGUGAACGCUGGCGGUAGGCCUAACACAUGCAAGUCGAACGGCAGCACAGGAGAGCUUGCUCUCUGGGUGGCGCGUGGCGGACGGGUGAGGAAUACAUCGGAAUCUACUUUUUCGUGGGGGCUAACGUAGGGAAACUUACGCUAAUACCGCAUACGACCUACGGGUGAAAGCAGAGGAUCUUCGGACCUUGCGCGAUUGAAUGAGCCGAUGUCGGAUUAGCUAGUUGGCGGGGUAAAGGCCCACCAAGGCGACGAUCCGUAGCUGGUCUGAGAGGAUGAGCAGACACACUGGAACUGAGACACUGUCGAGAAUCCUAGGGGAGGCAGCAGGGGGGAAUAUUAGACAAUGGGCGCAGGCCUGAUCCAGCCAUACCGCGUGGGUGAAGAAGGCCUUCGGGUUGUAAAGCCCUUUUGUUGGGAAAGAAAUCCAGCUGGUUAAUACCCGGUUGGGAUGACGGUACCCAAAGAAUAAGCACCGGCUAACUUCGUGCCAGCCGCCGCAGUAA